UAUGAAAAACUAAUACAUAAGCUUGUGCCCCAGUCAUAAUUUGUUGUUUUUUUUCUUUAUUUCAAGAGCCAAAAUGACCAGAAGAACUAGUCAUCCACCAAGCAGAAGUCUUCAUCUUCAUCUGGUAAUGACUAAGCAGGUUACAGCUUGCACAACUGAGGCUGGGAUCACAGCCACUAAACCGACAUGUCUGUCGCAACAGCUUUCUGAUCACAACGCCUUUAAAGACCUGUUCAAAUAAGGGCAUGAAGCCAUGCAGAGGGUUUGACCAUCACCAGCCUGCCCUCUAUAAAGGUGUCUUCUCCUUGUAGCUGCAUCCACUGCAGCAGCAUCUCGUCCUGAACAGAGCCUCCAGCAUCACUCAGACCUUUCUCCACCACUGCAGACAAACAGCUCCUGAAAGAGCGGAGCUGAUAAUCUGGUGAAUGACGAUGGCUGGUCCUUACUGGGUUUCUGUAGCCGUCGUUGUUUUGAUGAUCGUUACAAACGGUGAGACUGUUAUUGACCCAAACCAGCUUGCACCAAUUGUUCAAGAAAUUCUCAACAAGUACACACCAAGCUACAAGGGUGAAAACAACAUCAUAAGGUUUCCCAUGUUCAGUGUGGCUGUGAGCGUCCCGUACAAUGAAGGCAAGUUUGAUAUGAGCAAAGUCACUGAUUCUGGUGAAGCUGUGAGGAAGAAGAUUCUAAACUGUGACGUAUACCAAAGUGACAGAGUGGUGGCAGCCACAGUGCUGAAAUGGCCCAAUGUUCUCUAUCAGUGUCCUGAUGGAGAUGUACACUGGCCUGAGAUUUGGAAGAGAUGUCGUGGAAAGGGAAGAAAGACAUGGGCUGUUGUUCGAGACAAAUGUCCUGAAAAUGAAAUUGGGAUGGGUGAGGCUGAUCAUGCAGAGUUCCGAACCCUGCAGCAUUUUGAACUUUUACUCGCAACGAUCACAAAAUCCAAAACUGAUCUGAUGGUUUUCUAUGUCCGUGACUCCCCAUGUGAUCGAACAUGUACCAACCCAGGCAACGAUCGGAGAAUUCUCGAAAGUAUAAAACAGAUAAAGAAAUGGAAGAACAAUUAUGUUGUUGUGUUUUCAAAUAUAUUUAGACCUGAUAAUAAUAAUAAUAAUCGUGAGAAUGAACUGCGUGAAUCACUUGAGAGGCUUGGGGGUGCAAUCGCAGAUCAAGGGUCAAAGGUCAAAGAUAAAAGUUCAAAUGGUCUUCAGAACAUAUUCCGAUGCUACGGGCAGCCACAAAUGAAGUGCAUUAGCUGCAAUACCAAUGGUGCUGUUGCACAUAAAUGUGUUGCAGAUGGUUAGCAACCUGACAGCAAACUAUUUGAACAGUGUGUGUGGAGUGAGUGUAAUCCAUUUAUAGCCUCUGAUACUGUUUCUGAUUAAAGCUUAAUAAACUGCAUUAAAACAUGUCACAGCUUGGAUCUGCUCUGUCCUUCUUUUAAAGCUCGAUGUUGUAUUUUCUGUUUCUAUGAUUGAAUAUGAAGUUUGAGGUAAAGAUGCUGCAGGUUUUCUAUUCAUGGGUCACUCCACAGAAACUCUGGUCAUACAAACUGUCGGCUCCCAAAUUUUAAAGCCAACAUGAUAACCUUCUCCAGCCAGUGGUGUGGAGAUCCAGCUUUUUAGAUCCAAUUACAAUCCAAUCACUCAGAAGAUCCUCUGGAAACAAGACAACACAUAGCAAAGCAAGCUGGGCAAAGCCCGGGUGUAGAGCCCCGAUGUCACCUCUGACCCUCCAUAACUCCUCCUGCAGCUGCUGGGUAACUUUCCCCUCCUUGUCAUCCAGCCAAAAACAACACAUGCAGGUCAGGGGUCGGACCAGGCGCCAUCUUCAGGUGGGCCAGCUUUGCUUUGUCACAGUCAACUAUAACAUGGUUAAAGUUACACAUCGGUCCUAAUUAUUAAAUCACACUACAAGCAGCGUACAUCAACAGGUGGCAUAAACCUAUGAUAUAUAUGUGAAUAAUACUUGACCAAAGUUUAUGGGUCAUGUCACAAACCAUUUGAUUGCUGUUCCCAGGACUGCGCUCUUCUGGACAGAGAUCUCCGAUGUUGUUCCCGGGAUCUGCUGGAGCCACUCGCCUAGCUUGGGAGUCACCGCACCUAGUGCUCCGAUUACCACGGGGACCACCGUCACCUUCACCCUCCACAUCCUCUCUGAGCCCUUGGUAUUUCUCCAGCUUCUCGUGUUCCUUCUUCCUGAUGUUGCUGUCAUUGGGAACCGCUACAUCGAUCACUACGGCCGUCUUCUCAUGUUUGUCUACCACCACUAUGUCCCAGGGCCGUGCAGAGACGUUUAAAGGGGCGGGUGCUCAAAGUUAAAAAGGGGCACAUUGAACCAGGCUGAAUAACAACAACACACAUUCAUCAAGAAUCUAAUAUGGGAUCGCAUCAUACUACAUUACUGUUGUGAGGUGGCAACAAGGCAAAGCAAACGUAGCCUAUGUUUUACCUGAUGGGUACAAUGUUGCUGUUGAGGGGUUGCUGCUGCUCCUGCUGCUGAUAGUGCUGGAGGGCAGGGCUGUGCUGAUCUGAGACUGUAGACAUUAAAAUGUUCAUAGGAGAGAUGGUAGCUGAUUAAACAAGUGUUAUGAGAUAAUAACUAAAUGCAAAGAACAUAAGAAAAUGGGCUUGGAACCACAAAGCAACAAAAAACUGUGAGAAAUAAACAAGGCUCUGCCUGUGAAUCACACUGCUUCUCUUCUUCUUUCCAUCCCCUCAUUUCACAUAUCACUCUCCACUUGCUGUCUAUCUGAGAACAAGGCACAACUUGCUAUUGCAAUAAACUAUUAUAUAAUUAUCCACACCUAACAACUGCUGCAUUUAAUCUAUAAUAAAAUGAUGACAGAAAAAUGUUAUAGAAGCAAAACAUUCCAGUUGUGCUUAUUAUUAUUUUUAUACUGGAAUACCUCUCCAACAACUGGUACAUGUGUUAAUGUUACCUGUGCUCUUUGUAAUCCAGCUGCUGAGGGAUCCACUGCCUUUAGUAGCCUCACACAGCUCCUACUGUUUCCUCCUCAUGUCCUAACCAGUCAUGUCUGGACAAUGUUAUAUCAUGAGUAAUAAUUUAAAAAAUCCAUAUAAAUAAAACACACACAUGCACGCACACACAGGGACAUUUUAGACCUUCAGAAUACUGUAUAUAAUGUAGGCAUCAUGGUGCUGAUCCAGAAUCCUUCCAUUAUUAUUUAUUACUAGAGCUACAAUAAUAAAGCAAUGAGGGAAAAACAAUAAUAAAUAUGAAAUAAUGUCUUUAUGAUGAUUCCAUUUGUUUCACUAUCCACUCUGUGCAGGGAGAAAGCUUAUUACAUUUUUUAACUGUAGAGAUACAAAAUUUUACUGCUAUAAAAUCAGCAUUUUAAAAUAUAAAUCUACUAUAAUCUGUGUCUUAAUGUAUGUUCUUUAAAAUACAGCGUAUGUUUUUUAAAUAUUAUAAUUAUAAUAAUCCAUAAUUAUGUGGACAUGCAUAUUAGAUCGUUUUUAGUGAAAUAUAAUCCCUCCAGAAAGGCAGGAAAAGCCCUGUAACUUACUUUAAAACUAAAUAUGUUCCCUAACACGGUGACAGAGCUACAGACCCAUGACAGCCUUACCCAGUUAGCCAGCAGCUGUGACCAGCACUACUUGUGUAGUUAAUAAAAGGACAGGUAAUGUUUGUCGCGCUGUUGCAUACACAGCACGCUCAUUUGUUUCAGUUCGUCAGUUGUCACAAGACAGCUUACCAACGUGUACGUGAUAAGCUAAUACUGCUGUGUGCUGCAGACUACAGUGUGCGCUGUACACCUACUUACCGGUUUUGUCGCAUCAGUCUGUGUGCCUGAGGUAAUUUGUGUUCCUCCUACAGCUCCGGACCGCUAAAAAUGCGCGUGCUCUUUGUGAGCUCGUUCCCGGCUCGUAACCAGCGCGUUCUGCCGUCAAGGGCGAUCAUUGGUUAAUGGUGAUCAUGUGACUGAUGCAAGACAGAUCCUUUUAUUUAGCAAAUUGUGAUUAAUAGUUAAAUAUUAUUGUCGAGGGGCACAGACAGGACUCCACACACACACACACAUUUAAAAAAAAUAUAUAUAUAUUUUUUUUAAAAAGUUGCCUCAAGAAAAGGGCACUUUGGGCACCCAUCAGGAAAGGGGCAGGUGCUCAAGCACCUCUAGCACCCCCCUCUGCACGUGCCUGCUAUGUCCCACAGGAUCUUAGCUCGGUCAUUCUCCGCCACCCUUGGGGGCGUCUCCCAUUUUGACCUCAGGACUUCCAGGCCGUAUUCGGCACAGAUGUUCCUGUACACUAUGCCGGCCACUUGGUUAUGGCGUUCCAUGUAUGCCUUGCCUGCUAGCAUCUUGCACCCUGUUGUUAUGUGCUGGAUUGUCUCAGGGGCAUCUUUACACAGCCUGCACCUGGGGUCUUGCCUGGUGUGAUAGACCCCAGCCUCUAUGGAUCUUGUACUCAGAGCUUGUUCCUGUGCUGCCAUGAUUAGUGCCUCUGUCCCCGGCCCCCUUCCUUCUGCUUAGCGUACAGCCUCAGGGUGCUGGACUUGGGGUGAAACCCUCCAUGCAUGGUCAGGAGCUUCCAGGUCAUCAAAAAAAUCCACAACAAACCUGCUUAAAUUUUCCCCUUCUUAUAAAUCUCACACUUUUCAUGGUAACAACUAGCUUCAUCUGCACUGAUUACAUGAUUAAAUAUUUUUCUCACUUUUCUGAUUCAAAAUAUGUGUUCAUGCAGCUUUUUGCUUGCUGUUGUCCGUGUCAGAGUUUGGGCUCGUCCUUCUUACUGAUGCUAAAAAGCUUAUGACAUGUAUUUGUGUAUUUGUUGUGCUGCAGGAUAUAAAAUACUAAAGUUGAUGAAUGAGGUUCAUCUCAUAGUAACUAUUUCACUGUUUCUCUGGUUUGUUGGAUGUAUGAUGGCAGUAAUGUGGUUUAUUGUUAGAAAACUGGAGGCUAGAACAAAUUUCAGAGGGCUGAGGCUUCCAGCUCAUAACCAGGCACCAACACACAGUCUGAUAUGAGGUCACCAGCAGGAGGACAGGACACUAACUUUCACAUCACAGGAGCUGCUCAGCUGACACUGCAGCAGGAGGCGGAGCUCCGCAGGUUACAGGAAGUGAGUCAGAAGCACAUUUACUCUGACACACGCUCAGUUUCAACACCUGUUGGGCUCUUCGCCUUCUCUUUUCUUUUCAAACAAACGUUAGUGUGAGUUUGUCAGAGUUCCCCAUCAACACAGCAGAGUGUCUGCGGUGAGUACGGCUCAUGUCUUUAAACAUUCAUGAAAACAAAGCUGAUCUUUGCAUCUUUUAGCUUCUCAAACAGAUUUUUUCUGAUGGAAUAUUUCAUGCAGAUUUCAGUCUUUGUAUUUUAGUUCUUUGCAUCAUGUAGAGCUCAGUAAACUCAUUUAUCUUAAAGAGAACCUGUUUGAAGGCUCAUAUUUCAGCCGCUCAUCCUCCUCGCCUGAGCUCACUCUGUCAUGUUUGCUUAGCUUUCACAAGACUUGUUCAAACUGCUUCAUGAG
Long non-coding RNA from Oreochromis niloticus (Nile tilapia), 5492 nucleotides. NCBI's taxonomy places the organism in Eukaryota, Metazoa, Chordata, Actinopteri, Cichliformes, Cichlidae. The record is from Ensembl.